GGUGCUAUGGUUGUCGUCAGCUCGUGUCGUGAGAUGUUGGGUUAAGUCCCGCAACGAGCGCAACCCUUGCCUUUAGUUGCCAUCAUUCAGUUGGGCACUCUAGAGGGACUGCCGGUGUCAAACCGGAGGAAGGUGGGAUGACGUCAAGUCCUCAUGGCCUUUAUGCCCAGGGCUACACACGUGCUACAAUGGGCGGUACAAAGAGCAGCGAGCUCGCGAGAGUAAGCAAAUCUCAAAAAGCCGUCCUCAGUUCGGAUUGGAGUCUGCAACUCGACUCCAUGAAGUUGGAAUCGCUAGUAAUCGCGGAUCAGCAUGCCGCGGUGAAUACGUUCCCGGGCCUU
RNAcentral lists this ribosomal RNA (341 nucleotides) under uncultured Syntrophaceae bacterium. Its description in RNAcentral is "bacterial SSU rRNA". It matches the Rfam family "Bacterial small subunit ribosomal RNA", at positions 1037 to 1382 of the family's 1533-position model. Lineage: Bacteria; Pseudomonadati; Thermodesulfobacteriota; Syntrophia; Syntrophales; Syntrophaceae. The record is from RNAcentral.